CAUAUUUUUAUCACAUACAGCGCCCUACACUAAUAAUCAGGUAGUAUUGAUAGCUUUAAAUCGUGCCUGCGCUGAGUGUCCAUUGGCCACUCCCACUGAUCUGUUCAUAUUGAGCACAAUGGAAGGAACAGGACUGGCUGAGACAUGUCGGCCACUACCGGAAUAGCCCACAGUGUGGUUACCUGUAAUAAACGUGCAGCUAA
Pelobates cultripes (western spadefoot toad) is the source of this 203-nucleotide non-coding RNA. The record is from the annotation of a GenBank genome assembly. Lineage: Eukaryota; Metazoa; Chordata; Amphibia; Anura; Pelobatidae.